UGCCUAUAGGCCAUCUGUAUGAGACUGUUCCUUCUUGAUGCAGGUGUGUAAUGGGAAGAAUAAAUUAAAAUUAGUUUUCAAUAGGUGUUCUCAUGACGAAGCUGGUUUCUCUCCGUGCAUCCCGCCUGCCACCAACGUUAGACCAUGUGGCUUAGUGCCCCCAGGAACAAUGACACAGGGGAAGUCCUCUCUCAUAAAAAGAAGCACUUUAGAGGAAGAGAGUGAGGACCUAAGAGGAAGGCAAAGAUGCCUGUGUUCUUUCACUUCUGCCUCCUGUUGGGACUAUUCAUGGAAAACCAGGGACUACAGUGUCAACAAAGGAGGCCUUGAGCUUAGUUACUUUCCAGGCAAAGGAAGUAGUGUGUGCAGCAGCAGACACAUUUUCUGAGGGGAAGAUCAGAGGGUUUUAUGCAGUGGAAAGGGCGGAGGCCUUGGCACUUAUGCUAAUUCAUGUUUGGAAGCUUGUACUCCAGCAAAGUCAGAAUGCAUCCAUUCAUUGGUGUGUGGUUGGUUAAAACAAGUCCUGCUGUUCACUGGUCAGGAAGGAACCCUCAGUUGAGUGCAGUAAGGGUCUGAUGAACUGGGGUCACUCAGAGGUCUUAGUAGUUUAUCAUCUUUUAUUAGUGGUGGUGAUGGUGGUGAGGUUGCUAAAGGUCAUGAUUGUUUUAGAGCUCUAGCGGUUAAAACCAGUUGUGAAACAAAGCAUAUGCAACUGUAAGAACAAGAUAUUUUUUCCCUCCUAUAUAGAUAAAAGCUUGAGGAUAUAGAACAGGCUGUGCUAGAAAUAUGCUGCCAGGAACAGGGAGCCUGAGAACACUGGGGCUUGUGGCCUGUUGCCUCACCUACAGCUCCUGGGAGGCUGCAGGCCUCUGCAGGCCAAGGAGAAGCUGGCUUUGGCUUGGGAGCUGUAGCAUCCUGGCCUUGGGGAUGACCAUGGUCUGAGGCAGAGCCUCCGGGUCCCUGCAACCUGGUGCCCAUGGGACUCUUGGAGGCAAUGACUGUGCACCAAAGGUCACAAGGGACCCGUCGUGCCCCAGCAGAUGCCAAGUCAGGACUGGAUCAGACCAGCCACCUGCAAGGAGAGGGGCUGGCUCUGUCAGCCACAGACCUUCUUUCUCAUUUGGAGAGAAGAAAUAAACAGAUCUUUCUCUCUUUUAAAAAAAGACUUACCCAAAGACACUCUUUAAAAGGGAAGAGACUGAGAUAUUAUUAAUUGGCAAGUUUGUUUUUGCCCCCACACUCCUCAAUGGGGUGUGAACUUGGAGGAAGAACAGUUAUAGGAAAUAAAGGCGCUACAUUUUCCUUAAAAAACAGAGUGGUAAUGUGCAAAUUUGCAAUCCUGCUAUAUACAUAUAAUUUAAUAUUUAUAUGGAAACAUUUAAACCUAAUGUUCAGUAAUUUGGAAGAGAAUAAACCGUUAAAUUCCAUUUAAGUGUCUUUAUCACAUAUCACCAUUCCUGCCUUCUGUCUAAUCCACUUAUGUGGCUAUAAAACUGCAAACAAGCC
Long non-coding RNA from Bos taurus (domestic cattle), 1506 nucleotides. Lineage: Eukaryota; Metazoa; Chordata; Mammalia; Artiodactyla; Bovidae. The record is from Ensembl.